Molecule: long non-coding RNA, 161 nt
Filed under: Anser brachyrhynchus (Pink-footed goose)
Lineage: Eukaryota; Metazoa; Chordata; Aves; Anseriformes; Anatidae
Description: lncRNA (ENSABRG00000022224.1)
Source: RNAcentral
CUUCACCAGGUAUCCUGACCAUGAUAGUUCCUCUGAGACAUUAUUGAAUUACAAGGUCUGAGAAGUCCUGAGCACCAGCUAACAGAUCCUUGAGAAGAGGGUCAAGACACAAAGGGAUGUGUUCUUCACUCUUCCUCAUUUGUCAAGUUGAGGAAGAAGUG